RNAcentral lists this ribosomal RNA (450 nucleotides) under uncultured bacterium. RNAcentral's name for it is "partial 16S ribosomal RNA". It matches the Rfam family "Bacterial small subunit ribosomal RNA", at positions 354 to 796 of the family's 1533-position model. The record is from RNAcentral.
GUGAGGAAUAUUGGUCAAUGGACGAAAGUCUGAUGGUGCAACGCCGCGUGGAGGAUGACGGUCUUCGGAUUGUAAACUCCUGUCAUCCGGGAGUAAGACCUGGCUGUGAAUAGCAGACAGGGUUGAUAGUACCGGAAGAGGAAGGGACGGCUAACUUCGUGCCAGCAGCCGCGGUAAUACGAAGGUCCCGAGCGUUGUUCGGAAUCACUGGGCGUAAAGGGAGCGUAGGCGGCGUGGUAAGUCAGAUGUGAAAUCCCGGGGCUCAACCCCGGAACUGCAUCCGAUACGGCCGGGCUAGAGGAUUGGAGAGGUAGCUGGAAUUCUUGGUGUAGCAGUGAAAUGCGUGGAGAUCAAGAGGAACACUCGUGGCGAAAGCGAGCUACUGGACAAUAUCUGACGCUGAGGCUCGAAGGCCAGGGUAGCGAAAGGGAUUAGAAACCCCGGUAGUCC